AUGCCUUUUCCUCCCAAACCAUCCAAGAAAAAGGAUAAUGAGGAUUUUGAGCGCUUUGCUGAAAUGAUUAAACCUACCUUUUUGUGUAUGCGAUUAACUGAUAUACUCAAAACCAAUCCUUAUGCUAAGUACAUGAAAGAUAUUAUUACAAAUAAAAGAAAGAUACCGAAAGCUGAAAUUUCCACCACGCUUGCUAAUCUCUCCCUAAUAAUAAAGUAUCGAUUGAGUCUCCGGGUUCACCGUCACAAUGCGCUUUCUUCCCAUGUCAUAAUACGCUUCUUCCUGUCCGUUUUUUCUUGA
This 300-nucleotide ribosomal RNA is filed under the name Triticum aestivum (bread wheat). RNAcentral's name for it is "partial small subunit ribosomal RNA". Lineage: Eukaryota; Viridiplantae; Streptophyta; Magnoliopsida; Poales; Poaceae. The record is from RNAcentral.